Molecule: ribosomal RNA, 253 nt
Filed under: uncultured bacterium
Lineage: Bacteria
Description: partial 16S ribosomal RNA
Rfam family: Bacterial small subunit ribosomal RNA
Source: RNAcentral
UACGUAGGGGGCAAGCGUUGUCCGGAUUUAUUGGGCGUAAAGAGCGUGUAGGCGGCCAGGUAGGUCCGUUGUGAAAACUCGAGGCUCAACCUCGAGACGCCGAUGGAAACCAUCUGGCUAGAGUCCGGAAGAGGAGAGUGGAAUUCCUGGUGUAGCGGUGAAAUGCGCAGAUAUCAGGAAGAACACCAAUGGCGAAAGCAGCUCUCUGGGACGGCACUAACGCUGAGACGCGAAAGCGUGGGGAGCGAACAGG